UACGAAGGGGGCUAGCGUUGCUCGGAAUCACUGGGCGUAAAGGGUGCGUAGGCGGGUCUUUAAGUCAGGGGUGAAAUCCUGGAGCUCAACUCCAGAACUGCCUUUGAUACUGAAGAUCUUGAGUUCGGGAGAGGUGAGUGGAACUGCGAGUGUAGAGGUGAAAUUCGUAGAUAUUCGCAAGAACACCAGUGGCGAAGGCGGCAUCCUGGACCAUAACUGACGCUGAGGCGCGAAAGCUAGGGGAGCAAACGGG
Molecule: ribosomal RNA, 253 nt
Filed under: uncultured bacterium
Lineage: Bacteria
Description: partial 16S ribosomal RNA
Rfam family: Bacterial small subunit ribosomal RNA
Source: RNAcentral